This 273-nucleotide ribosomal RNA is filed under the name uncultured Ascomycota. RNAcentral describes it as "partial 18S ribosomal RNA". It matches the Rfam family "Eukaryotic small subunit ribosomal RNA", at positions 548 to 827 of the family's 1831-position model. The record is from RNAcentral. Lineage: Eukaryota; Fungi; Ascomycota.
UUGGAGGGCAAGUCUGGUGCCAGCAGCCGCGGUAAUUCCAGCUCCAAUAGCGUAUAUUAAAGUUGUUGCAGUUAAAAAGCUCGUAGUUGAACCUUGGGCCUGGCUGGCCGGUCCGCCUCACCGCGUGCACUGGUCCGGCCGGGCCUUUCCUUCUGGGGAGCCCCAUGGCCUUCACUGGCUGUGGGGGGGAACCAGGACUUUUACUGUGAAAAAAUUAGAGUGUUCAAAGCAGGCCUUUGCUCGGAUACAUUAGCAUGGAAUAAUAGAAUAGGA